Molecule: non-coding RNA, 236 nt
Organism: Pelobates cultripes (western spadefoot toad)
Lineage: Eukaryota; Metazoa; Chordata; Amphibia; Anura; Pelobatidae
Source: the annotation of a GenBank genome assembly
CACUAACACACACAGAUGGAAUAAACACAUACACACAGAGGCACACACAGAGAUAAACACUGACACUCAAAGAUACACAUACCUACAUACACACUGGUACACACAGAAUCAGGUACACACAAACAUGGACGUACACAUAAACACUGCCAGAGGGCUGCAGCACCAGACCGGGGGCCUCGAUAGGACCUGCCUGUGGGGACCUCCCUCGAUUCCUGCUGGCAUCACCCAUACUGCAG